Molecule: ribosomal RNA, 252 nt
Filed under: uncultured microorganism
Description: partial 16S ribosomal RNA
Rfam family: Bacterial small subunit ribosomal RNA
Source: RNAcentral
UACGUAGGUCCCGAGCGUUGUCCGGAUUUAUUGGGGGUAAAGCGAGCGCAGGUGGUUUAAUAAGUCUGAUGUAAAAGGCAGUGGCUCAACCAUUGUGUGCAUUGGAAACUGUUAGACUUGAGUGCAGUAGAGGAGAGUGGCAUUCCAUGUGUAGCGGUGAAAUGCGUAGAUAUAUGGAGGAACACCGGUGGCGAAAGCGGCUCUCUGGACUGUCACUGACACUGAGGCUCGAAAGCGUGUGUAGCAAACAGG